Molecule: long non-coding RNA, 217 nt
Filed under: Elaeis guineensis (African oil palm)
Lineage: Eukaryota; Viridiplantae; Streptophyta; Magnoliopsida; Arecales; Arecaceae
Description: long non-coding RNA (EGUI_LNC007187)
Source: RNAcentral
GGAGUGCACAAGACAAGGCAUCAGCACAUAAAAUAAAUAAAUAGGGGGAGAGGAAGCAUCUUUGGCGAAGACCAUCAAUCAAGCGAAAAAACUCCGUUAGAGUGUCAUUGACCAAAAUAGCAAAGCUUGGAGACUCCACACAGUCUAUAACCCAGUCGAUCCAUCUAUCGGGAAAGCUAAACUCACGGAGUGAGCGUCGCAGGAAGCACCAACUAAU